RNAcentral lists this unclassified non-coding RNA (378 nucleotides) under uncultured bacterium. Its description in RNAcentral is "contains 16S-23S intergenic spacer region". The record is from RNAcentral.
UCCGGUUUGUCACCGGCAGUCCCAUUAGAGUGCUCAACUGAAUGUAGCAACUAAUGGCAAGGGUUGCGCUCGUUGCGGGACUUAACCCAACAUCUCACGACACGAGCUGACGACAGCCAUGCAGCACCUGUGUUACGGCUCCCUUUCGGGCACACCUCCAUCUCUGAAGGCUUCCGUACAUGUCAAGGGUAGGUAAGGUUUUUCGCGUUGCAUCGAAUUAAACCACAUGCUCCACCGCUUGUGCGGGUCCCCGUCAAUUCCUUUGAGUUUUAAACUUGCGUUCGUACUCCCCAGGCGGAUCACUUAACGCGUUAGCUUCGUGACGCAGGGGGUCGCUCCCCCCGACGCCUAGUGUCCAUCGUUUACGGCGUGGACUAC